Non-coding RNA from Triticum urartu, 278 nucleotides. Lineage: Eukaryota; Viridiplantae; Streptophyta; Magnoliopsida; Poales; Poaceae. The record is from RefSeq and is a predicted model, not a curated record.
GCCCCGUCAGGAUGCUGCUCAACAUCACCACCAGGAAGUUCCCCUGUGGAGUAGGUCGUCCAGUAAAGCUGUCGAAGGAGCUCCAUGCUGAAGAACAUAACACUUGUAGAGCUUGUAAAAUAUUGUAUCUCAUUAUUGAACUUGUGGAGCUUGUAGCUGUGACUGGCAUACUGUUAUUACACUUGCAGAGCUUGCAAAGUGUAUGUUAGAGCUUAUUUUGUACAGCAGGAGCUUUGUAUUGAAUCUGGCUGAUAAUAUUUGAAGUGUUACUUGUAGAA